CAUGAAGCUGGAAUCGCUAGUAAUCGCAGAUCAGAAUGCUGCGGUGAAUACGUUCCCGGGUCUUGUACACACCGCCCGUCACACCAUGGGAGUCGGAAAUGCCCGAAGUCGGUGACCCAACCGUUUAUGGAGGGAGCUGCCGAAGGCAGGUCUGGUGACUGGGGUGAAGUCGUAACAAGGUAAC
Molecule: ribosomal RNA, 184 nt
Filed under: uncultured bacterium
Lineage: Bacteria
Description: partial 16S ribosomal RNA
Rfam family: Bacterial small subunit ribosomal RNA
Source: RNAcentral